GACGAACGCUGGCGGCGUGCUUAACACAUGCAAGUCGAACGAUGAAGCCGGAGCUUGCUCUGGUGAAUUAGUGGCGAACGGGUGAGUAACACGUGAGUAACCUGCCCUUGACUCUGGGAUAACUGCGGGAAACUGUAGCUAAUACCGGAUACGACCCUCGGAGGCAUCUCCUGGGGGUGGAAAGAAUUUCGGUCAAGGAUGGACUCGCGGCCUAUCAGCUAGUUGGUGAGGUAAAGGCUCACCAAGGCGACGACGGGUAGCCGGGCUGGGAGGGUGACCGGCCACACUGGGACUGAGACACGGCCCAGACUCCUACGGGAGGCAGCAGUGGGGAAUAUUGCUCAAUGGGCGCAAGCCUGAUGCAGCAACGCCGCGUGAGGGAUGAUGGCCUUCGGGUUGUAAACCUCUUUUAGCAGGGAAGAAGCGAAAGUGACGGUACCUGCAGAAAAAGCACCGGCUAACUACGUGCCAGCCGCCGCGGUAA
RNAcentral lists this ribosomal RNA (484 nucleotides) under uncultured bacterium. RNAcentral's name for it is "partial 16S ribosomal RNA". It matches the Rfam family "Bacterial small subunit ribosomal RNA", at positions 28 to 523 of the family's 1533-position model. The record is from RNAcentral.